This 162-nucleotide ribosomal RNA is filed under the name uncultured bacterium. Its description in RNAcentral is "partial 16S ribosomal RNA". It matches the Rfam family "Bacterial small subunit ribosomal RNA", at positions 355 to 509 of the family's 1533-position model. The record is from RNAcentral.
UAGGGAAUUUUCGUCAAUGGGCGCAAGCCUGAACGAGCAAUGCCACGUGAACGAGGAAGGUCUUCGGAUCGUAAAGUUCUGUUGAAGGGGAAAAAGAGCGGAGAGAGGAAAUGGUCUCCGAUUGAUAUUACCCUUCGAGGAAGUCACGGCUAACUACGUGCC